This is a non-coding RNA of Dermacentor silvarum, 80 nucleotides long. Lineage: Eukaryota; Metazoa; Arthropoda; Arachnida; Ixodida; Ixodidae. The record is from the annotation of a RefSeq genome assembly.
GGCCUGCUAGCUCAGUCGGUUAGAGCACCGUCGUGCUAAUAACGCGAAGGUCGUAGGUUCGAUCCCCCCUGCGCAGGCCA